RNAcentral lists this long non-coding RNA (1365 nucleotides) under Nicotiana benthamiana. RNAcentral's name for it is "long non-coding RNA (NBEN_LNC024581)". Lineage: Eukaryota; Viridiplantae; Streptophyta; Magnoliopsida; Solanales; Solanaceae. The record is from RNAcentral.
AAAUCUUGAUCAGAAGUGAAUAGCCCUUGCCUAUUCAUGAGAUCAACGUAGUACUUGUUGUCGAAUACAUUAGGGCUUCGAAUGUCCAUGUUGACAGUGUUGUUGGAAUCAGCUGUGGGGCAGCUGCGUUUAAGGUUGUUGGCGAAUGUUUUGUCCAUGGUUGGGUCUUGGUUAGGGAAGAGACGGUCGGUGAAGGAAGUACAGUGGCUGAUUCCGAUAGUGUGGGCCCCGGACAAAGCGACGGCGUCGGUGGCGUCUAAACCCUUGGCUGCAAGGCGACGGAGGACGACUGUGGUAUUGGCAAAUGGUGCAACAAGGUUGUCUAAGGUUGCUUGUUCUGUUGCAAAGGUCCGUCCGUCUUUUCUUCCUAAGGGCACUUUGUAGUUUGGCCCACCAGUCUGGAAGGAACAUUAUAUCACAAGUAACCAAAAUGGGUCAGAAUAUUUAAGUUAAUGGGUUUAAUUCAAAAUAAAUUAAUAGUACGAUAAAUUUUUUAAAACAAAUAAAUAACUUAAACAAAAGUUAUUGGGUUCGACGAACCCGUAGUAUUUAGCUCCCGCCGCGGUAACAAAUGAGACUAACUUAACUUAUAGUUAUAUACAUAGUUAAUAGAAGUAGAUAAGAGUGAGUUGCUGAAGUAUAUCGUUUUGUUAUGAAAAUAAAGAGUUUCUGAUUAAUAAAUUAAUUAAACUAAAAUCCAAAGAAAGAUUAAGCAUGGACAAAAUGGUAAUUUUGGUCUUACCAAGACAACAGAGUCCCUAGCAGCAAUUGCUGUAAUAUCGGAGCAAGACACAACUUUCCCACAUGCAUUGUGAACCCUUUUCCUAAGAUCAUCAAUUAUCUUGAAUGAUCUCUUUCUUAGGGUCAAAUUAGGAAUUGCAGUCUGUUCACUUGGCCCUCCUGCCGAUCCAUCAAGCAACACUGAACCAUCACAUCCCUACAAUAUAAUAAUGCAUAUUUACCAAUAAAGAAAUUAAUACACUUAAUGAUUUACUUUGAUGUAACAUAAUCAAUCAAUGGAGUGCUCUUCUUCAGUGUGGAAAAAAAGAUAUUCACGUAUUUUUUUUGUAUUUAGAAACUACUUUGACAUGCUCUCAUGGUUAUAAAAAUGUCAUGAUAUGUUUAAGAUUGCAUAUUGUAAGAGUACAUUAAUAUGUGCCGAAAGUUUCUUUCUUGACUUUUAAAUUCUGCCUCCAAUCAAAUAUCACUAGAAAUUUAAAAAAUGAAAAAUUGAUUACCUGAACAAAGCAAUCGUGGAAAUGAAGACGAAGUAAGCCAGCAGCUUGGCCAACAUCAUCCUUAAUCUGUUUUUGAAGCCUCUUCCUAAUAAUGGAUUCAAGCUGAGGGCAACUAGAUUCAUAAAAU